Molecule: ribosomal RNA, 251 nt
Filed under: uncultured bacterium
Lineage: Bacteria
Description: partial 16S ribosomal RNA
Rfam family: Bacterial small subunit ribosomal RNA
Source: RNAcentral
UACGUAGGGUGCGAGCGUUAAUCGGAAUUACUGGGCGUAAAGCGUGCGCAGGCGGCUUUGCAAGACAGAUGUGAAAUCCCCGGGCUCAACCUGGGAACUGCAUUUGUGACUGCAAGGCUAGAGUACGGCAGAGGGGGAUGGAAUUCCGCGUGUAGCAGUGAAAUGCGUAGAUAUGCGGAGGAACACCAAUGGAAGGCAAUCCCCUGGGCCUGUACUGACGCUCAUGCACGAAAGCGUGGGGAGCAAACAGG